CUUGAUUCCAGACACGCAAAAGACCAUUGCCAUUGUCGCAUAAAGGACAACUAUAAAAAAAGUCACUUCCUCUCGGAACUGUCAAAAAAAUUCACUCUCUAUGGAGCUGUCAAACUCUAUGGCGUUUCCACCCCGUGGUCAAACGUGUACCUACCUUGGUCACAGGGUGCGCGGCGCGUUCGAUUUUAUAAUUAUUUUAUUGAUUUCUUAUUAGAAAAGUAGUGAUAAUUGAUAUAAAACGAUCCGAUAUAACUUUCCGAUCGAUUCGGGGUGUGAUUUUAUUUACGCAACGUGAUUUGAAUUACUUGUGACCGUGAUAUUGAACUCUGCUUUAUAACCUUGAAUAUUGUGAUGACCAUUGCUCAGAUAUAAGUUUUUUUUUGUUUUAUACUUGUUUGUGCGUAAGACAGUAAAAUUGCGACCAGUUUUUGCACUCGAACCAUGCUAUAAAGUCCACAAUCGCACUAAGAUGUUCAAUACAACGUUAAAACAA
Molecule: long non-coding RNA, 493 nt
Organism: Ostrinia furnacalis (Asian corn borer)
Lineage: Eukaryota; Metazoa; Arthropoda; Insecta; Lepidoptera; Crambidae
Exons: 2
Source: RefSeq, a predicted model, not a curated record